UCGUCAGGUAGGAUAGUCCUUACCUAUUCCUCCCUUUUGAGGGCAGAACAGGACGUGAUGAUUGGAGCUCACAUGAUUCAUGAUUAAUGGCAAAAGAUAAAAAUAAAAAUACACACAGAGACACACAUAUAUCUCAUUCAGAC
Camelus dromedarius (Arabian camel) is the source of this 143-nucleotide small nucleolar RNA. Its record names the gene U8. It matches the Rfam family "U8 small nucleolar RNA". Rfam says of the family: U8 is a member of the C/D class of snoRNA which contain the C (UGAUGA) and D (CUGA) box motifs. U8 is the RNA component of a small complex (the U8 snoRNP) which is required for accumulation of mature large subunit ribosomal RNAs, 5.8S and 28S rRNAs. The record is from Ensembl. NCBI's taxonomy places the organism in Eukaryota, Metazoa, Chordata, Mammalia, Artiodactyla, Camelidae.